GACAGAGGGUGCAAACGUUGUUCGGAAUUACUGGGCGUAAAGCGCGUGUAGGCGGCUUGGCAAGUCGGGUGUGAAACCUCCAGGCUCAACCUGGAGACGCCACUCGAUACUGCUGUGACUAGAGUUCGGUAGGGGAUCACGGAAUUCCUGGUGUAGCGGUGAAAUGCGCAGAUAUCAGGAGGAACACCGGUGGCGAAGGCGGUGAUCUGGGCCGACACUGACGCUGUAGAGCGAAAGCGUGGGGAGCGAACAGG
Molecule: ribosomal RNA, 254 nt
Filed under: uncultured bacterium
Lineage: Bacteria
Description: partial 16S ribosomal RNA
Rfam family: Bacterial small subunit ribosomal RNA
Source: RNAcentral